GACGAACGCUGGCGGCGUGCUUAACACAUGCAAGUCGAACGGAAAGGCCCUGCUUUUGUGGGGUGCUCGAGUGGCGAACGGGUGAGUAACAAGUGAGUAACCUGCCCUUGACUUUGGGAUAACUUCAGGAAACUGGGGCUAAUACCGGAUAGGAGCUCCUGCUGCAAGGUGGGGGUUGGAAAGUUUCGGCGGUUGGGGAUGGACUCGCGGCUUAUCAGCGUGUUGGUGGGGUAGUGGCUUACCAAGGCUUUGACGGGUAGCCGGCCUGAGAGGGUGACCGGCCACAUUGGGACUGAGAUACGGCCCAGACUCCUACGGGAGGCAGCAGUGGGGAAUAUUGCACAAUGGGCGGAAGCCUGAUGCAGCAACGCCGCGUGCGGGAUGACGGCCUUCGGGUUGUAAACCGCUUUCGCCUGUGACGAAGCGUGAGUGACGGUAAUGGGUAAAGAAGCACCGGCUAACUACGUG
Molecule: ribosomal RNA, 468 nt
Filed under: uncultured bacterium
Lineage: Bacteria
Description: partial 16S ribosomal RNA
Rfam family: Bacterial small subunit ribosomal RNA
Source: RNAcentral